AGGCUAGAAAGCAAAAUGGUUUAUGCAAAAGAUUGCAAAUCUUUGUUAAUUGGUUCGAUUCCAAUUCUAGCUUG
This 74-nucleotide transfer RNA is filed under the name Dictyomenia sonderi. RNAcentral describes it as "tRNA-Cys". It matches the Rfam family "tRNA". Rfam says of the family: Transfer RNA (tRNA) molecules are approximately 80 nucleotides in length. Their secondary structure includes four short double-helical elements and three loops (D, anti-codon, and T loops). Further hydrogen bonds mediate the characteristic L-shaped molecular structure. tRNAs have two regions of fundamental functional importance: the anti-codon, which is responsible for specific mRNA codon recognition, and the 3' end, to which the tRNAs corresponding amino acid is attached (by aminoacyl-tRNA synthetases). tRNAs cope with the degeneracy of the genetic code in two manners: having more than one tRNA (with a specific anti-codon) for a particular amino acid; and 'wobble' base-pairing, i.e. permitting non-standard base-pairing at the 3rd anti-codon position. Lineage: Eukaryota; Rhodophyta; Florideophyceae; Ceramiales; Rhodomelaceae. The record is from RNAcentral.